RNAcentral lists this long non-coding RNA (390 nucleotides) under Manihot esculenta (cassava). RNAcentral describes it as "long non-coding RNA (MESC_LNC009408)". The record is from RNAcentral. Lineage: Eukaryota; Viridiplantae; Streptophyta; Magnoliopsida; Malpighiales; Euphorbiaceae.
GUUUCAGGUAUAACACGAGGAUUCAUAGUAAUUGCUGCUGGAGGUUUUCUAUCAGUUUCAGAUAUAACACGAGGGCUCAUAUUUGCUAUGGGAUGUUUUCUAUUGGUUUCAGGUAUAACAAGAGGGUUCAUACUAGUUGCUAAGCGAGGUUUCCUAUCAGUUUCUGGUAUAACACGAGGAUUCAUAGUAGUUGCUGUAGGAGGUUUUCUAUCCAUUUCAGGUACAACAAGAGGGGUGAUAUUAGUUGACGAGGGAGGUUCUCUAUCAAUUUCAGGUGCAGGACCAGCAUUGAUAUUAUUUGAUACGGUGGUUGUCCUAUUUGUUUCAUGCACAAUUUUGGAGGCCAUAUUUAUUGAUUGAUCUUCAUUAUUAAAUUUCUCUCGUCUUUCA